UACGUAGGUGACCAGCGUUGUCCGGAUUUACUGGGCGUAAAGAGCGCGCAGGCGGUCGUUCAAGUCGAGUGUGAAAGCCCCCGGCUCAACUGGGGAGGGUCAUUCGAUACUGAUCGACUCGAAGGCAGGAGAGGGAAGCGGAAUUCCCGGUGUAGUGGUGAAAUGCGUAGAUAUCGGGAGGAACACCAGUGGCGAAGGCGAGUCCCUGGACAACUCCUGACACUGAGGCACGAAAGCUAGGGGAGCAAACAGG
This 253-nucleotide ribosomal RNA is filed under the name uncultured bacterium. Its description in RNAcentral is "partial 16S ribosomal RNA". It matches the Rfam family "Bacterial small subunit ribosomal RNA", at positions 524 to 776 of the family's 1533-position model. The record is from RNAcentral.